CCUACGGGAGACAGCAGUGGGGAAUAUUCCACAAUGGGGGAAACUCUGAUGCAGCGACGCCGCGUGAGUGAAGAAGUAUUUCGGUAUGUAAAGCUCUAUUGGCAGGGAAGAAAAUGACGGUACCUGAUUAAGAAGCCCCUGCUAACUACGUGCCAGCAGCCGCGGUAAUACGUAGGGGGCAAGCGUUAUCCGGAUUUACUGGGUGUAAAGGGAGCGUAGACGGCAGCGCAAGUCUGAAGUGAAAGGCCGGGGCUUAACCCCGGAACUGCUUUGGAAACUGUGCAGCUAGAGUGCAGGAGAGGUGAGUGGAAUUCCUAGUGUAGCGGUGAAAUGCGUAGAUAUUAGGAGGAACACCAGUGGCGAAGGCGGCUUACUGGACUGUAACGGACGUUGAGGCUCGAAAGCGUGGGGAGCAAACAGGAUUAGAUACCCCAGUAGUC
RNAcentral lists this ribosomal RNA (440 nucleotides) under uncultured bacterium. RNAcentral describes it as "partial 16S ribosomal RNA". It matches the Rfam family "Bacterial small subunit ribosomal RNA", at positions 338 to 795 of the family's 1533-position model. The record is from RNAcentral.